This 253-nucleotide ribosomal RNA is filed under the name uncultured bacterium. Its description in RNAcentral is "partial 16S ribosomal RNA". It matches the Rfam family "Bacterial small subunit ribosomal RNA", at positions 524 to 776 of the family's 1533-position model. The record is from RNAcentral.
CACGUAGGAACCAAACGUUAUCCGAAUUUACUGGGCGUAAAGCGCGUGUAGGUGGUUCGGUAAGUUGGAUGUGAAAGCUCCCGGCUCAACUGGGAGAGGCCGUUCAAAACUACCGGGCUGGAGAGCGGUAGAGGAAGGUGGAAUUCCCGGUGUAGUGGUGACAUGCGUAGAUAUCGGGAGGAACACCAGUGGCGAAGGCGACCUUCUGGACCGUUUCUGACACUGAGAUGCGAAAGCUAGGGGAGCGAACGGG